UAAUUGACCGAUUUUAAAUUU
Non-coding RNA from Caenorhabditis elegans, 21 nucleotides. Lineage: Eukaryota; Metazoa; Nematoda; Chromadorea; Rhabditida; Rhabditidae. The record is from Ensembl.